RNAcentral lists this non-coding RNA (29 nucleotides) under Mus musculus (house mouse). Lineage: Eukaryota; Metazoa; Chordata; Mammalia; Rodentia; Muridae. The record is from RNAcentral.
CAAAAUGAAGCCGUCAGGCUGGGUCCUAA